Molecule: non-coding RNA, 858 nt
Organism: Oncorhynchus mykiss (rainbow trout)
Lineage: Eukaryota; Metazoa; Chordata; Actinopteri; Salmoniformes; Salmonidae
Source: RefSeq, a predicted model, not a curated record
CAUAUGUGUCAUCUCAUAGUGUUGAUGUCUUCACUGUUCUUCUACAAUGUAGAAAAUAGUCAAAUAAAUAAAAACCCUUGAAUGAGUAGGUUUGUCUGAACUUUUGACUGGUACUGUAUAUGUGAAAGAUAGUUUUUUAGUUGUAGUAUACUUCAUAAACACGGUUGUGUCUGUGAACCAACGUUUUACAUUGGAAUUAGUAGUUCAUAUAUUCAUGGUGGAACAGUAUCUAUGUCUGCUGAAGAUAGUUUUUCAUUUGGAAUAGUUUGUCCUGUACGUUCAUGGUUGUGUAUCUGUGAAAGGUAGUACCGGUCAUAAAGUCAUGGUUGUAUAUCUGUGAAAGGUAGUACCGGUCAUAAAGUCAUGGUUAUAUAUCUAGGUCAUUUACAGUUACAAUAGUUCAUAUACACUAUUCAUGCACUCUACUGAUCCAGGACUAGGGUUGCGAAAUUCCAGGGAACGUUGAAAUAAACCAAGGUUUUCCUGAAAUUCUGCUUGGAGGAGUCAUGAUUUCCUUCUUUUUUUAAAAUUCCCUCUUGAUUCCGGAAAUCCUCAAAAAGGGAUUUGGGGAUUAGUGAAGGUAUUUGGGGAUUAGUGAAGGUAUUUGGGGAUUAGUGGGGGAUUAGUGAAGGUAUUUGGGGAUUAGUGAAGGUAUUUGGGGAUUAGUGAAGGUAUUUGGGGAUUAGUGGGGGAUUAGUGAAGGUAUUUGGGGAUUAGUGAAGGUAUUUGGGGAUUAGUGGGGGAUUAGUGAAGGUAUUUGGGGAUUAGUGAAGGUAUUUAAGGAUUAGUGAAGGUAUUUGGGGAUUAGUGAAGGUAUUUGGGGAUUAGUGAAGGUAUUUGGGGAUUAGUGAAGGUAUU